Molecule: ribosomal RNA, 483 nt
Filed under: uncultured anaerobic ammonium-oxidizing bacterium
Lineage: Bacteria
Description: bacterial SSU rRNA
Rfam family: Bacterial small subunit ribosomal RNA
Source: RNAcentral
UUUUCGCAAUGCCCGAAAGGGUGACGAAGCGACGCCGCGUGGGUGAAGAAGGCCUUCGGGUUGUAAAACCCUGUCAGGAGUUAUGAAAUGUAAGUGCGCUAAUAUCGUGCUUAUUUGACAAAGGCUCCAAAGGAAGCCACGGCUAACUCUGUGCCAGCAGCCGCGGUAAUACAGAGGUGGCGAGCGUUGUUCGGAAUUAUUGGGCGUAAAGAGCACGUAGGUGGGUUUGCAAGUCAGAUGUGAAAGCCUUCUGUUCAACGGAAGAAUUGCAUCUGAAACUGCUGAUCUUGAGUAUAGGAGGGGAGAAUGGAACUUCUGGUGGAGCGGUGAAAUGCGUAGAUAUCAGAAGGAACGCCGGCGGCGAAAGCGAUUCUCUGGCCUAUUACUGACACUCAGUGUGCGAAAGCUAGGGGAGCAAACGGGAUUAGAUACCCCGGUAGUCCUAGCCGUAAACAAUGGGCACUAAGUAGAGGGGUUUUAAUC